This 273-nucleotide long non-coding RNA is filed under the name Mustela putorius furo (domestic ferret). RNAcentral describes it as "lncRNA (ENSMPUG00000025289.1)". The record is from RNAcentral. Lineage: Eukaryota; Metazoa; Chordata; Mammalia; Carnivora; Mustelidae.
GCCCUAGGAAGGUCCAACUGCAAGUGCAAAGGCCCUGAGCUCCGGCCUGAGACACGCGAGAAGAUGCUGGCUUCGCCGCUUCUCUUCAUCAGAAGAAACAUCUUCCCCCACACACAGGCUCCAGGGUUCGGUUAUUAAAACAGCAAAACCCAAAUGCUUCCAAGAUAAACUCCUGAUAAUGCGAUAAUAGCAGUCACCCUGGAGAAUUCCAAUUGGUGCCUCUCACCAGGGGAAAUGUCAUCAGCAAGCAAGCAUCCCGGCUAAAACAACCCC